RNAcentral lists this unclassified non-coding RNA (211 nucleotides) under Ascomycota sp. RNAcentral describes it as "partial contains small subunit ribosomal RNA, internal transcribed spacer 1, and 5.8S ribosomal RNA". The stretch from base 1 to 47 matches the Rfam family "Eukaryotic small subunit ribosomal RNA", at positions 1785 to 1831 of the family's 1831-position model. Lineage: Eukaryota; Fungi; Ascomycota. The record is from RNAcentral.
AAAGUCGUAACAAGGUUUCCGUAGGUGAACCUGCGGAAGGAUCAUUCUUGAUAAUUUUAGCUUAUGCUAUCAUUAAAUAUGUGCACUGUUACCGCUAGUUGGCGGCCGAAAGGUCGUCAGUUGGCCCCAUUUCUUAUAUUUACUAUUAAUUUUUUGUACCAGUAAUCAUAAAAUCUUAUGACAACUUUUAGCAAUGGAUCUCUAGGCUCUC